This 452-nucleotide unclassified non-coding RNA is filed under the name Hevea brasiliensis (rubber tree). Lineage: Eukaryota; Viridiplantae; Streptophyta; Magnoliopsida; Malpighiales; Euphorbiaceae. The record is from RNAcentral.
AAUUUUGCAAUUUUUCCAAUGACAGUUUCCAGCAAGGUCUUCAAUUUGUGAUUAUAACCAUUCACCGUCACCUUGGGUGUGCUGUUGCUUAGAUAACAGGCCCAGGGCAUGUUUCUUUCUAGAUGAUACAACUCUCCUUCACUGCAACAUAGUAGGGAAGAACACACCCUAGGCAUGUUUCAUGGCUCUUAAACACACCAGGGGCAUGUUCUUUCUUGUGCCUAGGAAUUAGCGCUGCAUUAGUGAUGAAACAAAAAAAGGACUUCUAGAUGAUCUUUUAAAUUACAGGUAUCAAAAUCCAAAUAUGACAAUAAGUGAAAGAAGUUAGAGAUUAGGUUGCUAAGUGUGAAGAUCCAGCCUCUUGGUCUAGUUACUGAGAACAAGGAGCUCAAUAGAUAAACCAUUUUUAUAGGUAAAAUGAUAGCAAAUAAAGAAAGACAAUAAUAUGCAAG